CAAGCGGAGGAACAUGUGGUUUAAUUCGAAGCAACGCGAAGAACCUUACCAGGUCUUGACAUCCCGAUGCUAUUUCUAGAGAUAGAAAGUUACUUCGGUACAUCGGUGACAGGUGGUGCAUGGUUGUCGUCAGCUCGUGUCGUGAGAUGUUGGGUUAAGUCCCGCAACGAGCGCAACCCCUAUUGUUAGUUGCCAUCAUUCAGUUGGGCACUCUAGCGAGACUGCCGGUAAUAAACCGGAGGAAGUGGGAUGACGUCAAAUCAUCAUGCCCCUUAUGACCUGGGCUACACACGUGCUACAAUGGUUGGUACAACGAGUUGCGAGUCGGUGACGGCGAGCUAAUCUCUUAAAGCCAAUCUCAGUUCGGAUUGUAGGCUGCAACUCGCCUACAUGAAGUCGGAAUCGCUAGUAAUCGCGGAUCAGCACGCCGCGGUGAAUACGUUCCCGGGCCUU
RNAcentral lists this ribosomal RNA (453 nucleotides) under uncultured Streptococcus sp. RNAcentral's name for it is "bacterial SSU rRNA". It matches the Rfam family "Bacterial small subunit ribosomal RNA", at positions 926 to 1382 of the family's 1533-position model. Lineage: Bacteria; Bacillati; Bacillota; Bacilli; Lactobacillales; Streptococcaceae. The record is from RNAcentral.